RNAcentral lists this transfer RNA (73 nucleotides) under Asterorhombus intermedius (intermediate flounder). RNAcentral's name for it is "tRNA-Lys". It matches the Rfam family "tRNA". Rfam says of the family: Transfer RNA (tRNA) molecules are approximately 80 nucleotides in length. Their secondary structure includes four short double-helical elements and three loops (D, anti-codon, and T loops). The record is from RNAcentral. Lineage: Eukaryota; Metazoa; Chordata; Actinopteri; Pleuronectiformes; Bothidae.
CGCUAAGAAGCUAAACAGUCCCAGCGUCAGCCUUUUAAUCUGAAAAUUGGUGCCUAACACUCACCCUUAGCGA